RNAcentral lists this ribosomal RNA (118 nucleotides) under Nocardioides mesophilus. Lineage: Bacteria; Bacillati; Actinomycetota; Actinomycetes; Propionibacteriales; Nocardioidaceae. The record is from RNAcentral.
UUCGGCGGCCAUAGCGAAAUGGGAAACACCCGGAUCCAUUCCGAACCCGGAAGUUAAGCCUUUCAGCGCCGAUGGUACUGCAACCGGGAGGUUGUGGGAGAGUAGGACGUCGCCGGAC